RNAcentral lists this ribosomal RNA (397 nucleotides) under uncultured bacterium. RNAcentral's name for it is "bacterial SSU rRNA". It matches the Rfam family "Bacterial small subunit ribosomal RNA", at positions 362 to 773 of the family's 1533-position model. The record is from RNAcentral.
UAUUGCACAAUGGGCGCAAGCCUGAUGCAGCAACGCCGCGUGGAGGAAGACGGUUUUCGGAUUGUAAACUCCUGUUCUUAGUGAAGAAGAAAGUGACGGUAGCCAAGGAGGAAGCCACGNCUAACUACGUGCCAGCAGCCGCGGUAAUACGUAGGUGGCAAGCGUUGUCCGGAAUUACUGGGUGUAAAGGGAGCGCAGGCGGGACUGCAAGUUGGAUGUGAAAUACCGCAGCUUAACUGCGGAGCUGCAUCCAAAACUGUAGUUCUUGAGUGAAGUAGAGGUAGGCGGAAUUCCGAGUGUAGCGGUGAAAUGCGUAGAUAUUCGGAGGAACACCGGUGGCGAAGGCGGCCUACUGGGCUUUUACUGACGCUGAGGCUCGAAAGUGUGGGGAGCAAAC